This 74-nucleotide transfer RNA is filed under the name Candidatus Sericytochromatia bacterium. RNAcentral's name for it is "tRNA-Val". It matches the Rfam family "tRNA". From Rfam's summary of the family: Transfer RNA (tRNA) molecules are approximately 80 nucleotides in length. Their secondary structure includes four short double-helical elements and three loops (D, anti-codon, and T loops). The record is from RNAcentral. Lineage: Bacteria; Bacillati; Candidatus Sericytochromatia.
GGGCAGUUGGCACAGCUGGUUAGCGCACCACGUUGACAUCGUGGAGGUCACAGGUUCGAAUCUUGUACUGCCCA